RNAcentral lists this ribosomal RNA (717 nucleotides) under Pseudosperma calciphilum. Its description in RNAcentral is "Pseudosperma sp. AM-2023a partial large subunit ribosomal RNA". The record is from RNAcentral. Lineage: Eukaryota; Fungi; Basidiomycota; Agaricomycetes; Agaricales; Inocybaceae.
UUGACAUGGACUACCAGUGCUUUUGUGGUAUGCUCUCAAAGAGUCGAGUUGUUUGGGAAUGCAGCUCAAAAUGGGUGGUAAAUGCCAUCUAAAGCUAAAUAUUGGCGAGAGACCGAUAGUGAACAAGUACCGUGAGGGAAAGAUGAAAAGAACUUUGGAAAGAGAGUUAAACAGUACGUGAAAUUGCUGAAAGGGAAACGCUUGAAGUCAGUCACAUUGACUUGAAAUCAGCUCUGCUUUUGCUGGGUGUACUUUCUUGUCAAUGGGUCAGCAUCAAUUUUGAUCAUUGGAUAAAGUCAUUGGGAAUGUAGCAUCUUUAGAUGUGUUAUAGCCUGGUGAUGCAUACAGUGGUUGGGAUUGAGGAACUCAGCACGCCACCAGGCCGGGUUUCGACCACGUUCGUGCUUAGGAUGCUGGCAUAAUGGCUUUAAUUGACCCGUCUUGAAACACGGACCAAGGAGUCUAACAUAUCUGCAAGUGUUUGGGUGGAAAACCCAUGUGCAUAAUGAAAGUGAAAGUUGAGAUCCCUUCUCAAGGGGGGGGAAGCAUCGACGCCCGGACCAGACCUUUUGUGACGGAUCCGCGGUAGAGCAURUAUGUUGGGACCCGAAAGAUGGUGAACUAUGCCUGAAUAGGGUGAAGCCAGAGGAAACUCUGGUGGAGGCUCGUAGCGAUUCUGACGUGCAAAUCGAUCGUCAAAUUUGGGUAUAGGGGCGA